Molecule: ribosomal RNA, 460 nt
Filed under: uncultured bacterium
Lineage: Bacteria
Description: partial 16S ribosomal RNA
Rfam family: Bacterial small subunit ribosomal RNA
Source: RNAcentral
CCUACGGGUGGCUGCAGUGAGGAAUAUUGGUCAAUGGACGGGAGUCUGAACCAGCCAAGUAGCGUGAAGGAUGACUGCCCUGUGGGUUGUAAACUUCUUUUAUAUGGGAAUAAAGUGUGGCACGUGUGCUCUUUUGUAUGUACCCUAUGAAUAAGGAUCGGCUAACUCCGUGCCAGCAGCCGCGGUAAUACGGAGGAUCCGAGCGUUAUCCGGAUUUAUUGGGUUUAAAGGGCGCGUAGGUGGGUUGUUAAGUCAGUUGUGAAAGUUUGCGGCUCAACCGUAAAAUUGCAGUUGAAACUGGCAGGCUGGAGUACAGUAGAGGUGGGCGGAAUACGUGGUGUAGCGGUGAAAUGCUUAGAUAGCACGAAGAACUCCGAUUGCGAAGGCAGCGCACUGGACUGAAACUGACACUGAGGCACGAAAGUGUGAGUAUCGAACAGGAUUAGAUACCCUUGUAGUC